GACAAACGCUGGCGGCGUGCUUAACACAUGCAAGUCGAACGGAAAGGCCCUGCGUUUGUUGGGUGCUCGAUUGGCGAACGGGUGAGUAACACGUGAGUAACCUGCCCUUGUCUUUGUGAUAACUUCAGGAAACUGGGGCUAAUACCGGGGAUGAGCUCCUGCUGCGUGGUGGGGGUUGGAAAGUUUCGGCGGUUGUGGAUGGACUCGCGGCUUAUCAGCUUGUUUGUGGGGUAGUUGCGUACCAAGGCUUUGACGGGUAGCCGGCCUGAGAGGGUGACCGGCCACCUUGGGACUGAGAUACGGCCCAGAAGCCUACGGGAGGCAGCAGUGGGGAAUAUUGCACAAUGGGCGGAAGCGUGAUGCAGAAACGCCGCGUGCGGGAUGACGGCCUUCGGGUUAUAAACAGCUUUCGCAUGUAACGAACCGUGCGUGACGGUAAUGGGUAAAGAAGCACCGGCUAACUACGUG
Molecule: ribosomal RNA, 468 nt
Filed under: uncultured bacterium
Lineage: Bacteria
Description: partial 16S ribosomal RNA
Rfam family: Bacterial small subunit ribosomal RNA
Source: RNAcentral